This 464-nucleotide ribosomal RNA is filed under the name uncultured bacterium. Its description in RNAcentral is "partial 16S ribosomal RNA". It matches the Rfam family "Bacterial small subunit ribosomal RNA", at positions 29 to 507 of the family's 1533-position model. The record is from RNAcentral.
AUGAACGCUGGCGGCGUGCUUAACACAUGCAAGUCGAACGGAAAGGCUCCUGCUUGCAGGGGUACUCGAGUGGCGAACGGGUGAGUAACACGUGGGUGAUCUGCCCUGCACUUCGGGAUAAGCCUGGGAAACUGGGUCUAAUACCGGAUAGGACGAUGGUUUGGAUGCCAUUGUGGAAAGUUUUUCGGUGUGGGAUGAGCUCGCGGCCUAUCAGCUUGUUGGUGGGGUAAUGGCCUACCAAGGCGUCGACGGGUAGCCGGCCUGAGAGGGUGUACGGCCACAUUGGGACUGAGAUACGGCCCAGACUCCUACGGGAGGCAGCAGUGGGGAAUAUUGCACAAUGGGCGCAAGCCUGAUGCAGCGACGCCGCGUGGGGGAUGACGGCCUUCGGGUUGUAAACUCCUUUCGUCAGGGACGAAGCGAAAGUGACGGUACCUGGAUAAGAAGCACCGGCUAACUACGUG